This 465-nucleotide ribosomal RNA is filed under the name Vreelandella stevensii. RNAcentral describes it as "partial 16S ribosomal RNA". It matches the Rfam family "Bacterial small subunit ribosomal RNA", at positions 338 to 795 of the family's 1533-position model. The record is from RNAcentral. Lineage: Bacteria; Pseudomonadati; Pseudomonadota; Gammaproteobacteria; Oceanospirillales; Halomonadaceae.
CCUACAGGAGGCAGCAGUGGGGAAUAUUGGACAAUGGGGGCAACCCUGAUCCAGCCAUGCCGCGUGUGUGAAGAAGGCCCUCGGGUUGUAAAGCACUUUCAGUGAGGAAGAACGCCUGGUGGUUAAUACCCAUCAGGAAAGACAUCACUCACAGAAGAAGCACCGGCUAACUCCGUGCCAGCAGCCGCGGUAAUACGGAGGGUGCGAGCGUUAAUCGGAAUUACUGGGCGUAAAGCGCGCGUAGGUGGCUUGAUAAGCCGGUUGUGAAAGCCCCGGGCUCAACCUGGGAACGGCAUCCGGAACUGUCAAGCUAGAGUGCAGGAGAGGAAGGUAGAAUUCCCGGUGUAGCGGUGAAAUGCGUAGAGAUCGGGAGGAAUACCAGUGGCGAAGGCGGCCUUCUGGACUGACACUGACACUGAGGUGCGAAAGCGUGGGUAGCAAACAGGAUUAGAUACCCGUGUAGUC